RNAcentral lists this ribosomal RNA (2900 nucleotides) under Segatella copri. RNAcentral's name for it is "Prevotella copri 23S ribosomal RNA". It matches the Rfam family "Bacterial large subunit ribosomal RNA". Lineage: Bacteria; Pseudomonadati; Bacteroidota; Bacteroidia; Bacteroidales; Prevotellaceae. The record is from RNAcentral.
UAAAGAAAGUAAGAAAGGGCGUAUGGCGGAUGCCUAGGCUCACGGAGGCGAUGAAGGACGUGAUAAGCUGCGAUAAGCUUCGGGUAGGUGCAAAUAACCCUUGAUCCGAAGAUUUCCGAAUGGGACAACCUAGCCGUCUGAAGGACGGUUACUCUUACCAAGUAAGAGAGCUAACGCAGGGAACUGAAACAUCUUAGUACCUGUAGGAAGAGAAAAUAAAUUAAUGAUUUCCCCAGUAGUGGCGAGCGAACGGGGAACAGCCCAAACCAGUGGCGUCGCAAGGCGUGGCUGGGGUUGUAGGACCGCGACAUUGUAUGCAAAUCGUGAACAGAACACUUUGGAAAAUGUGACCAUAGACGGUGAUAGUCCAGUAUGUGAAGCGAAAUGCGGCAUAGCGGUAUCCUGAGUAACGCGGGACACGAGGAAUCCUGCGCGAAUCUGCCGGGACCAUCCGGUAAGGCUAAAUACUCCCGUGAGACCGAUAGCGAACGAGUACUGUGAAGGAAAGGUGAAAAGAACCCCGAGCAGGGGAGUGAAAUAGUUCCUGAAACCAUACGCCUACAAGCGGUCGGAGCAUCUUACGAUGUGACGGCGUGCCUUUUGCAUAAUGAUCCUACGAGUUACCGUCACUGGCGAGGUUGAGUGUCAUGAGACACGUAGCCGCAGUGAAAGCGAGCCUGAAGAGGGCGCACAGUCAGUGGGGGUAGACGCGAAACCAAGUGAUCUACACUUGGCCAGGAUGAAGUCCCGGUAACACGGGAUGGAGGUCCGCACCAAUAAGCGUUGAAAAGCUUCUGGAUGAGCCGAGUGUAGGAGUGAAAGGCCAAUCAAACUUGGAGAUAGCUCGUACUCCCCGAAAGGCAUUUAGGUGCCGCGUCGGAUGGUCACCGUGAGAGGUAGAGCGACCGAUAGGACAAGAGGGCUUCACCGCCUAUCGAGUCCUGACGAACUCCGAAUGCUCACGGUCUGCAGUCCGGCAGUAAGGGGGCGGGUGCUAAGGUCCGUCCCCGAGAGGAGAAGAAUCCAGACCGCCGUCUAAGGUCCCGGAGUUCUGCCUGAGUUAGUCUAACGAAGUCUGGUCCCUAUGACAGCUAGGAUGUUGGCUUGGAAGCAGCCAUUCAUUCAAAGAGUGCGUAACAGCUCACUAGUCGAGGGUCCGGGCAUGGAUAAUAAUCGGGUAUAAGGCAGACACCGAAGGCGCGGGAUAGCAAUUUUAAAAAGUAUCGGUAGGGGAGCAUACUCACAGCGUCGAAUGGUGUACGUAAGUUAUCCUGGAGCGGUGAGUAAAGCAAAUGUAGGAAUAAGUAACGAUAAGGAGGGUUAGAUUCCCUCCCGCUGUAAGACCAAGGUUUCCCGGGCAAUGCCAAUCAGCCCGGGGUCAGUCGGGUCCUAAGUCUAAGCCGAACGGCGAUGGCGAUGGCAGAGACGGUUAAUAUUCCGUCACUGCCGCAUGGGGCGACGUGGAGACGGAGCAGUGAAACCACCGCGGGGCGACGGAAGUCCCCGUUGAAGAGUGUAGGCGUUGAGGAUGGCAGGCAAAUCCACCAUCCGAGCUGAACUUGACAGUACGGAGUCCUCCUCGGAGGAAUCUGAUAGUGUGGGUAAUCAUACUCCCGAGAAAAUCCGCUAAGCUUAACCCAUGCGGCACCCGUACCGCAAACGGACACACGUGGUCGGGUAGAACAUACUAAGGCGUUGAGAGAUUCAUGGUUAAGGAACUAGGCAAAUUGACCCUGUAACUUCGGGAUAAAGGGUCCUCGUGAUGAGCGAGGCGCAGAGAAUAGGUCCAGGCAACUGUUUAACAAAAACACAGGGCUGUGCAAACUCGAAAGAUGACGUAUACAGCCUGACACCUGCCCGGUGCCGGAAGGUUAAGAGGAGAUGUCACUCGCAAGAGGAAGCAUUGAAUUGAAGCCCCGGUAAACGGCGGCCGUAACUAUAACGGUCCUAAGGUAGCGAAAUUCCUUGUCGGGUAAGUUCCGACCUGCACGAAUGGUGUAAUGAUCCGGACGCUGUCUCAACCAUGAGCUCAGUGAAAUUGUAGUAUCGGUGAAGAUGCCGAUUACCCGCGAUGGGACGAAAAGACCCCGUGAACCUUUACUACAGCUUAGCAUUGACCUUGGUCAUCCGAUGUGUAGGAUAGGCCGGAGGCUUCGAAGCGGGAGCGCCAGCUUUCGUGGAGCCAUCCUUGAAAUACGGCCCUUUGGCUGUCUGAGGUCUAACGCGUGAAACGCGGACACUGCUUGGUGGGUAGUUUGACUGGGGUGGUCGCCUCCAAAAGCGUAACGGAGGCUUCCAAAGGUGCCCUCGGGUCGAUUGGUAACCGACCUCAAAGAGUGCAAUGGCAUAAGGGCGCUUGACUGGGAGGCAGACAUGCCGAGCAGGCAGGAAACUGGGGCAUAGUGAUCCGGCGGAUGUGUAUGGAAACUCCGUCGCUCAAAGGAUAAAAGGUACUCCGGGGAUAACAGGCUGAUCCCCCCCAAGAGCUCAUAUCGACGGGGUGGUUUGGCACCUCGAUGUCGGCUCGUCACAUCCUGGGGCUGGAGAAGGUCCCAAGGGUUGGGCUGUUCGCCCAUUAAAGUGGCACGCGAGCUGGGUUCAGAACGUCGUGAGACAGUUCGGUCUCUAUCUAUCGUGGGCGUGGGAGUUUUGAGUGGUGCCGUCACUAGUACGAGAGGACCGUGAUGGACAGACCUCCGGUUUACCAGUUGUGCCGCCAGGCGCACCGCUGGGUAUCUGAGUCUGGAUUGGAUAAGCGCUGAAAGCAUCUAAGUGCGAAGCCAGCCGCAAGAUGAGAACUCCAUUGAGGGUCGUCAAAGACGAUGACGUUGAUAGGAUGCAGGUGUAAAGACAGCGAUGUCAAAGCCGAGCAUUACUAAUUGCCCGAACACUUUCUUUAU